AGCAGCCGCGGUAAUUCCAGCUCCAAUAGCGUAUAUUAAAGUUGUUGCAGUUAAAAAGCUCGUAGUUGAAUUUCGGGAUCAAUUAAUUGGUCGUGCCUCUGGUACGUACUGAUUUUAUUGGUUUCUCCCUUCUGACGAACCAUGAUGUCAUUAAUUUGGUGUCGUGGAGAAUCAGGACUGUUACUUUGAAAAAAUUAGAGUGUUUAAAGCAAGCUAACGCUUGAAUACAUUAGCAUGGAAUAAUGAAAUAGGACGUUUGAUCCUAUUUUGUUGGUUUUCUAGGAUCGACGUAAUGAUUAAUAGGGAUAGUUGGGGGCAUUAGUAUUCAAUUGUCAGAGGUGAAAUUCUUGGAUUUAUUGAAGACUAACUACUGCGAAAGCAUUUGCCAAGGAUGUUUUCAUUAAUCAAGAACGAAAGUUAGGGGAUCGAAGACGAUCAGAUACCGUCGUAGUCUUAACCAUAAACUAUGCCGACUAGGGAUCGGAUGAU
RNAcentral lists this unclassified non-coding RNA (489 nucleotides) under uncultured Archaeospora. RNAcentral describes it as "SSU rRNA". It matches the Rfam family "Eukaryotic small subunit ribosomal RNA", at positions 569 to 1061 of the family's 1831-position model. The record is from RNAcentral. Lineage: Eukaryota; Fungi; Glomeromycota; Glomeromycetes; Archaeosporales; Archaeosporaceae.